This 902-nucleotide ribosomal RNA is filed under the name uncultured bacterium. Its description in RNAcentral is "bacterial SSU rRNA". It matches the Rfam family "Bacterial small subunit ribosomal RNA", at positions 8 to 916 of the family's 1533-position model. The record is from RNAcentral.
AGAGUUUGAUCCUGGCUCAGGACGAACGCUGGCGGCGUGCGUAAUGCAUGCAAGUCGAGCGGGCUACGAUCUUCGGAUUGUAGCUUAGCGGCGAACGGGUGAGUAACACGUAGGUAAUCUACCCUUCAGAGGAGGACAACCUCAGGAAACUGAGGCUAAACCUUCAUACGUUCACUGGUAGGGAUACUGGUGAAGAAAGAGUUACCUUAGUGGUAGCUGCUGAAGGAUGAGCCUGCGGCCCAUCAGGUAGUUGGUGAGGUAACGGCUCACCAAGCCGAAGACGGGUAACCGGUCUGAGAGGAUGUCCGGUCACACUGGGACUGAGACACGGCCCAGACUCCUACGGGAGGCAGCAGCAGGGAAUCUUGGGCAAUGGGCGAAAGCCUGACCCAGCGACGCCGCGUGGAGGAAGAAGUCCUUCGGGGCGUAAACUCCUGGACUGGGGGACGAGUAAGGACGGUACCCCAGUAGAAAGGGACGGCUAACUACGUGCCAGCAGCCGCGGUAAAACGUAGGUCCCGAGCGUUGUUCGGAUUCACUGGGUGUAAAGGGCGCGUAGGUGGUUGUCUGUGUCUCAUGUGAAAACUCAGGGCUCAACUCUGAGAUUGCGUGGGAAACUAGGCAGCUAGAGGACGGUAGAGGGGAGUGGAAUUCCCGGUGUAGCGGUAAAAUGCGUAGAUAUCGGGAGGAACACCGGUGGCGAAGGCGGCUCUCUGGGCCGAUCCUGACGCUGAGGCGCGAAAGCUAGGGGAGCGAACCGGAUUAGAUACCCGGGUAGUCCUAGCCGUAAACGAUGGGUGCUAGGUGUUGGGGGGUAAAGACCCUUCAGUGCCGAAGCCAACGCGAUAAGCAUCCCACCUGGGGAGUACGGCCGCAAGGUUGAAACUCAAAUGAAUUGACGG